GAGCUUGCUCUUCGAUUCAGCGGCGGACGGGUGAGUAAUGCCUAGGAAUCUGCCUGGUAGUGGGGGACAACGUUUCGAAAGGAACGCUAAUACCGCAUACGUCCUACGGGAGAAAGCAGGGGACCUUCGGGCCUUGCGCUAUCAGAUGAGCCUAGGUCGGAUUAGCUAGUUGGUGAGGUAAUGGCUCACCAAGGCGACGAUCCGUAACUGGUCUGAGAGGAUGAUCAGUCACACUGGAACUGAGACACGGUCCAGACUCCUACGGGAGGCAGCAGUGGGGAAUAUUGGACGAUGGGCGAAAGCCUGAUCCAGCCAUGCCGCGUGUGUGAAGAAGGUCUUCGGAUUGUAAAGCACUUUAAGUUGGGAGGAAGGGCAUUAACCUAAUACGUUAGUGUUUUGACGUUACCGACAGAAUAAGCACCGGCUAACUCUGUG
RNAcentral lists this ribosomal RNA (435 nucleotides) under Pseudomonas putida. RNAcentral describes it as "bacterial SSU rRNA". It matches the Rfam family "Bacterial small subunit ribosomal RNA", at positions 76 to 507 of the family's 1533-position model. Lineage: Bacteria; Pseudomonadati; Pseudomonadota; Gammaproteobacteria; Pseudomonadales; Pseudomonadaceae. The record is from RNAcentral.